UACAGAGGGUGCAAGCGUUGUUCGGAAUUAUUGGGCCUAAAGCAUCCGUAGCCGGUUCUACAAGUCUUCCGUUAAAUCCAGCUGCUUAACAGAUGGGCUGCGGAAGAUACUAUGGAGCUAGGAGGCGGGAGAGGCAAGCGGUACUCGAUGGGUAGGGGUAAAAUCCGUUGAUCCAUUGAAGACCACCAGUGGCGAAGGCGGCUUGCCAGAACGCGCUCGACGGUGAGGGAUGAAAGCUGGGGGAGCAAACCGG
This 253-nucleotide ribosomal RNA is filed under the name uncultured bacterium. Its description in RNAcentral is "partial 16S ribosomal RNA". It matches the Rfam family "Bacterial small subunit ribosomal RNA", at positions 524 to 776 of the family's 1533-position model. The record is from RNAcentral.